UGAAGCAUAACCGGGUUCAAGUAGUGAUUGACGCUUUUAAGGAGUUAUGCUUCGAGACGACGGUGGAUUUCAAAGGAGGAGAAUUUUAUGAGGAAGAGGAGGUGGCGGUGUCUCUGAGGUAUGAGAAAUUAUUUGGGUAUUGCAAGCUCUGUGCCAGUCUUUGCCACAAGGAUGAGCUAUGUCCGUUGAAUGAGAAGAAACCUAAGCCGAGUCCUGAACGAAGGAGGGAGAUCAGAGAAGGCAAUGGGCAUGGUCUGAUGGGGCUAAGCAUGAAGGAGGCGCUCGUAGCUAUAAAGGUGUUGUUAUCAAUGGUCAAACAACUCAACAGAAUAAAAAGCGAGAUGUUCGGGAGUAUUAUGGGAAGGGGAAGGGGAAGGCAUCUGAUGCAGGUGGAUCCAAGUGGGUUAAGGUUGAUGAGAGGGGGAUCUAGAGUGGCUCCUUCUCACCACGGUAAUUACAGAGGUGGUGGCGAGGGUUCACGGUUCAGAACCUCCAGAAGAGACGAGGGAAGCAGCGGAGCUAAGGGUGAGGGAGCUGGGGUUCACGAGGCACGUAGUAGGCCUUCUAUGGAACAGCUGAGAGAUGAACAAAGACAGCAGAACAUAGGUCAGGAGGUACGUGAAGAAGGAGAGAUUAAGGGCACUGAUGCGGUAGAUGCCACUACAGCUACUGAAGAGUUUCAACUCGAACUAGCUAAGACGCAGGCAGAGGGCUCAGAAGCGAUUAUGGAGGCUACAAAGGAGGAGAUGGGGUUACUCCAGUUACAGGGAAUGAAGGAGAACCAAGAUGAUAUGGAAUUAGAGGCUAUUGAUAUGGAACUAGAGGCUAUCAAUGCUUCUUUAUUGGAGAGAGGGGUGGAGUUGACAACAGAAGAGGAGUUCCAGACUCUCUCGGAGGAGGAAGCGGAGAAAGAUUCUGAGGUUAUUGGGGUUCACGUCGAUCUGGGCUAUAUCAGAUCGGUGUUUGUUUUGAAGAAAGGAAUGAAGGGAUUUAAGGGAAUUCUUAAUUUCUAAUAAAUCAGAAUUGUCUUUUGGAUUUGUAGUUUUUUCUAUUUCUUCAUCCAUUUUUUCAUAGGACCUUCCCGUUGUCAUAUUCUUGAUAAGGCGUCUAGCUUCUUCGGGAUUCCUAGUGAUGAAAUUUCCAUCACUCGCUGUAUCGAGUGUGGUUUUAUAGCUCAAAUUAACACCUCCAUAAAAGAUGUUAAGAAGUUGUGGUUCUGAAUAACCAUGAUGGGGACAUUCAAGUUCAUAGCCUCUGAAUCUUCCCCAGGCGUUUUUAAACGAUUCGCGUGGACCUUGGCGAAAUGUAAAAAUUUGCUUUCUUACUUUCCAGUAGCGUUCAUCAGUGAAAAAUUCUCUAAGGAAGGCACUUCUAAUCUCUUCCCAACAAGUGAGUAAUCCUGCUGCUAAACAGUUUAACCACCUGAGGGCUUCUCCUUCUAGGGAGAAUGAGAAUAAUUUGCAACGAUCAUAUUCAUCUGGUACUAAUUCUUCCAAAGUUUCAAUAUGAUCUUGUGGGUGCUCUGGGAGGGAUCCACGGAAUGGGUUUUGACGAAUCAUACAGUAGUAAUCUGCGUUAAAACUUAGAUUUCUUGGUAUCGUCUCCUGGUAUUUUGAUAGCGGACCUAUUGGAAUAGGUCUUACCAGGAUCAAGGUAGUCUUGUAUGGAAAAUUUUAUAUCUUCACCUUUAGUUAAGGUGGAAUUUUCCUUAACAGGGAUUUCAGUCCCUUGUUUAGUUUGGCUAGCUUCAUUGCUCGUUUGACCAUUUUUUUCAGUUUGAACUACUUUCUCAUUAGCGGGCUUGGUAAGAGAAAACUUACCUGCUUCCGGCUGGGCGGUAUCGAUCAAUGUCGGCAGCUCCGUAUCGUUCAUUUUUUCUGACUCAACGUCGCUUGAUGGAAACGUGUCUCCGUCGAUCGAUGGUUGGUCGCACUCUGUGUUCUCCAUUCUUUGUGUCUGCGUAACAGAUUAAGAAAGAAAACUUUAGCAAGUUUUUCGUAACAAGUCUAUACUAAAUUCUCAAUUAAAUCUAAUGGUAAUAAGAAAGAGUCCCCGGCAACGGCGCCAAAUUUGAUAUCACUCAAAUUACCCUAAAGAGUGUUACUCUCAUCAACAGAGGUUCAGAUGUAGUACUUAGGGAUCAAAUCAACAUAGACUCUAGGAUUACUCAACAGACUUAAAUAAUUAGAAAUGAAGAUAGCCUAAAAGGUUUUAAUAGUUUUAAAAGUAGUAAAUGAUAAAUCGAAAACAAAAGUGAAACGAUAGAUUGAAUUGAAGUGGUUUCAAGAAUGGGAAAGCAGCUAGAUUCAGGUAAAUCUCAGGUAUGAAAUACAUGCACUUAGUUUAGACUAAAGGGUUUGAUGGUUUUUGAACUAAACAAUGGUUUAACCGGAUAGGUUAUUUUCGUUAGAUCUCGGAUCUCAACUGUCGUAUUCUAGCGAGCUUUUGCGAACAGGUUUAACUUGUUCUCUAACCUUCUCAGACCAACUGUCGUUGCGCCUGAGUUAGUUAGAUCACGCAAGUGGGUUCAGGUAUUGAGGGGAAACAGUUAGUUGGACUCAAUUAAUCCUAAGAUCUAAAAUGAAGAUGAUCAAUCUCAAUUUUAGCAUUAAGUUCACAAGCAAAUGAAAGAACAAUCAAAACACCUUUUUAAUAGUCAUAUUAGCAGUAUAUAAUUUCAACCAUGGUGAGAAACCUAAAUCUAACAAUUGGUUUACUCAAACAUAUUCAUGAGAGAAAAAGUCAUGAUGGCAUGAAAUAAACUCAAAUGAAACAUAGAACACAAAUAGAUAGAGUAAUAGAAAUAUAGGAGUUCAAGAUUUUCUCUGUUUUUGCAGUCCCAGAUCUAUCUCUCAAAUCCUAAACUCUUCUAAUGGUAGCCAAAAUGCUACUUUUCCAAACUAGGUCUUUUGCAAGUGUCUCCCUAAAAUGAUACAAAACCCUAGUACAUAUAGCCUAACAGGCGGCUAGGGACUUAAGUUGCAAAUAAUAUAUCUUCUGGGAAAUGAAAUCUUCUAAUUUGCGAUCUCAUUCGUAUGACUGGGCAUCGAUCGAUGCACAUGUAUGUUUGUCGAUCGAUGGUAAGUGAUUAUGAUCGACCGAUGUUGCUCUUCAAGCGUCGAUCGAUUUUUCUUGCGUAAAAGCAUUCCAAAAUGUCCCAAAAGUAUCAUUUCCUUCCAUCAGGUGAAUAAACCUGUAAUUUCUUUGAAAAGACUCUAAAAUAUGAUUAAUACAUCUUAAAACUUUUAUAUACCAUGUAUAAAAACGGGUGAAAAUCAUAGUAUAUCAGAUAGACAGAUAGAAAGUAGAAACAAACCUGUUUGGAAACAGUAGUGAACUCGUAAGCAAAGCUUACUCGUAAUUAAUUCUUUGAGAAAGUAAGUUGAAUAUGAAGCACUGCCACUUUCAUUGAAGCCUUUAAAAAUGGUGAAAUCCUCCCACUGACAAACCAGUCACUGUGUUGUAAGAAAUAGAAGAAGAACUAUAAAGUACCAAGAACUAUGAAGAACUAUGAACUAUGAACACUCGUAGUGGUCUCACCCAGACGUUUCCAUUUUGCUGCUUCUCAUUAUUGAGAGGUAGGAAAAGUCAAUGUCCCGUAAGAGUGAGCGGCGGGGCAUAGAUAUCUAAAUUGUCGGUCUCUGCUUGAGAAGACGACGAAUCAGUGAAAUAUAGAAGCACCGCUGCUUGGGUAGGGCGAAGCUCAAUCAACGGCGCGAAACCACCGGGAUGAAUAGAAGAUUAAGCCGAAACUCUUCGCCACCAUCGAGAUGAAGUGAUUCAAGCCCUGUUAUUUCCUGGAAGGCCCAACGCAGCCGGAUCUAGAUCCAUCCAUCUACGGUAACCAUUCCAAGUUCCAUCCAACGCCGCAGGAUGACCCUAGAAAUGUCAACCCAAGGUAUUUGAUGGUUGAUCUUUACAGUUUAGGAAUUUUGUUAGUGGAGCUCAGCACUGGAGCAAAGUUCAAUCUGUUUUAACUUUUAGCGCUCUAAAGAAAGUAAGACAUUGGGGUGAUUGGUUGGGCUGUAGGAGGAAACUUUAGCUUUAAUUUUCAUCUACAACCUUAAAUAUUACCAAUCAUGCUUUAUAUUGAUUUUUAAAGCUACAGCCAAAAAAAUAAAGCUACAGCCAAAAAACACAAAAAAUAGUUGUAAAAUUUUUAUUUUCUAAAGCCCCAUCUUUUUAUCUAUAGAAAACUUUAAAGCUACAUUUCUUUAAAGCUAAAUAAAAAAAUCCUACAGACUAAAUUUUAAAGUAAAUUUUCUAAAGCUACAGCCCAAUCAAUCACCCCCAUUAACAACUUAUUUUAUGUAUUUUACCAAAAAAAAUUUACUUUCUGUUAAUGUUUUUAAAACCGGACCGGAUACCGGCUCGGUAAAGCUACUGGUUAUGUGGUCGGACCGGUUCAACCGGUCGAACCGGGUUUUCUAUUUAAAAAUAAAUAAAUGUAAAUAAUCAUAUAUUUACACUAUAUAGACCUAAAAUGUAGUUCUACAUAUAAUAUGUUCUAUGUUCUCUUUUAUUAAUUAGAUAAUAAACAAUAACCAUAAGUUUAGUUAUAUAUACAAGUGAAUACUAUAUCAACCAAAAUUGAUUAAAAAAAUGAAUAACCAUUUAAAUUACAUAUUUACUUAUUUUUACAACUAAAAGUCUUAAAUUUUAUGAAUAUAGAAAAAUGAGAAUAAAAUAUGAGAGUCAAAAAGAGAUUUUUUUAAAAAACAUCUUUAAAAAAAAAAUCAAUUAGAAAACUAAUUAAAUAGUAAAAGUUAAACAUUAAUUAUGAAAUAUUAUAUUUUAAUAAUAAUUAAAAAUACAUUAAUUAUAUGUUGAUUUCUAUUGAACCGGUUUCAAAGUUUAACCGGAUCACCGGUUUUACCGGUUUUUAGCCGGUUUCACCGGUUUUUCUCAAAUCCGAAUUUUACACCGAACCGGACUCGGCUUCUUUAACGAGUCACGGUCAGACCGGUUCGACCGGCCGGUCCCGUCCGAUUUUCAAAACCUUUUUCUGUCUCUGUAUUUUACUAUCGGUGCGGGAGGUAUAUAUUUUUUUUUCUUAGUUGUUUUUUUUAGUUUUAGUCGACUAAAUAGAUCUUUUUUGUAACUUAAAACUAAAUAGAACUUCUGUCACCAAUUCGAGAGUAUAUGUAUUUUACUUAGUUAUGUCAAUUUAUUAUUUUAUACAUGUUUUUAAAUAAGUUCAUAAGUUUAGUAAACAAAAUAAUUUUUUACAAUAACUGAAUAGACUUUUAUGGAGGCGAUGCUUUUGGCGAUUUAGGGUUUCAUGAUUUCAAGAAGAUGGGAUCCGGGAAUUAGAGAUGGGGAUUGGGUUUUUCCGAUCUUUCAUGAUCAAUUCACGGAUUGUGGUUUUCAAGGUCUGCGUUUGGAUAGUUUGGGGACCGUUAUGGGAAUAGCGAAGGAGUUCUGUGAGAUCUUAUGGAUACUGCAGAUUUGGGGACAAAGGCGAGGGAUUUCAGAGGCUAUCAAGGUGGAUUGCAAUAUCUCUACAGGUUGUAAUCUAGAUUAUGAUUAUUUAAUUUUCCACUUUCAUCUAGUAGCGAUUGAUUUGCUUUACCUUAUGGAGGAUUGGGGGUCGUCGUAUCUUUCGGGAUUGAGAUCAGAGACUAUCAAAUUAAGGAGAUACGGGUUAAUUGUGGGAUAUUUGGUAUGGGAAUUUUUGGAAAACUGGGGUCAAUAUAAGAAAAAGUUUAUUGAGUCUCUUUGGCACAUCAUUGCUUUUUCAUUUUGCCAUUAUAUGCUUCAAUCGUGCUUCUUCUUUGUGAUACUCAUGACGCAGAGUCAGAUGUUGAAUCACGGUGAGGAGCUGAGGAACGGUGCAGGCAUGCGUAAGAGAUUGAAGAUUUCAGUGGCGCACUUCGACAAUUCUGCGCUGAUCAAAACCUAUUCCAAGACAUUGAUCGGGAGAUGUAUGAAUCCAGUGGAGCAGGAGAUGAAUGCGCUUUUCACAAAUCUCCCAAAGAUUUGGAAACAGGAAGAGAGGGUAACGGGUACUGAUCUGGGCUUUGGUAAAUUUCAGUUCGACUUCACGACGAAGGAGGAACUUGAAGCGGUGUUGAAGCAACAGCCUUACCAUUUUGACUACUGGAUGCUGGCUUUGGCAAGGUGGCAACCAAAACAAUCCAAGCUUUUUCCCUCAGAGAUCAUGUUCUGGAUAAGAGUCUUGGGGGUUCCUCUGGAGUUCAGGACGGUCCCGACCUUCGAGAGUAUUGGUGGAGCCUUGGGGAGAGUUGUUGCGGUUGAUGUGAAGCAUAACCGGGUUCAAGUAGUGAUUGACGCUUUUAAGGAGUUAUGCUUCGAGACGACGGUGGAUUUCAAAGGAGGAGAAUUUUAUGAGGAAGAGGAGGUGGCGGUGUCUCUGAGGUAUGAGAAAUUAUUUGGGUAUUGCAAGCUCUGUGCCAGUCUUUGCCACAAGGAUGAGCUAUGUCCGUUGAAUGAGAAGAAACCUAAGCCGAGUCCUGAACGAAGGAGGGAGAUCAGAGAAGGCAAUGGGCAUGGUCUGAUGGGGCUAAGCAUGAAGGAGGCGCUCGUAGCUAUAAAGGUGUUGUUAUCAAUGGUCAAACAACUCAACAGAAUAAAAAGCGAGAUGUUCGGGAGUAUUAUGGGAAGGGGAAGGGGAAGGCAUCUGAUGCAGGUGGAUCCAAGUGGGUUAAGGUUGAUGAGAGGGGGAUCUAGAGUGGCUCCUUCUCACCACGGUAAUUACAGAGGUGGUGGCGAGGGUUCACGGUUCAGAACCUCCAGAAGAGACGAGGGAAGCAGCGGAGCUAAGGGUGAGGGAGCUGGGGUUCACGAGGCACGUAGUAGGCCUUCUAUGGAACAGCUGAGAGAUGAACAAAGACAGCAGAACAUAGGUCAGGAGGUACGUGAAGAAGGAGAGAUUAAGGGCACUGAUGCGGUAGAUGCCACUACAGCUACUGAAGAGUUUCAACUCGAACUAGCUAAGACGCAGGCAGAGGGCUCAGAAGCGAUUAUGGAGGCUACAAAGGAGGAGAUGGGGUUACUCCAGUUACAGGGAAUGAAGGAGAACCAAGAUGAUAUGGAAUUAGAGGCUAUUGAUAUGGAACUAGAGGCUAUCAAUGCUUCUUUAUUGGAGAGAGGGGUGGAGUUGACAACAGAAGAGGAGUUCCAGACUCUCUCGGAGGAGGAAGCGGAGAAAGAUUCUGAGGUUAUUGGGGUUCAAGAAUACUCGGAGGAGAAGGAAGGGAUGGAGAGUGGUGAGUUUGACAGCAGCAAAGACACGGCGACAGAAGAGAUGGCGAAGAGACAGGGUAAUCGCAAGAGGCUGUUCAAGCCUACUAGUAGCAUUGUGGGAAGUAACAAGAUGAGGACGGCAAGUGCGCUUCUCUCUCCACGCAAAAGAGCUGCUGCAAAGGUGGGAACUCGUCCCGGAGAUAACGGUAAACCGGUGGAGAGUAAGGGGCCUUCAUACCCGAAGCAGUCGAAUCUCAAGUUCUAAAUUUAUGUAUCACGGCUUAAUAAUAAUAAAAUUAAGUAAAAGGGAAUUAGGUGAUGAGGAUGGGUUCUUAAUUAUUAAAAUAAGAUGUCUUAUUAAGAUCUGGAAUAAAAUUGGAUGUUUGGUUUUGUGGUGCUCUUGUGGUGUACUUGGAACUGUUUUACUUUGGGGAAAAUAUUUGGUCUUUUUGGUUUGGAUUUACGGGUGUGGAGGGUGGAUCAUUACUAGCUUCUCAAGUAACGUAUUGGUACUAUCUUGGUUUGGUAUCCUGCUUGCCCCUGGAUCAUUGGUUGGAAAGGAUUAUGUGAGCUGGUGUCUGAGGAGAUGGGAUAUGAAAGGUAUAUUUUGGAAUAGCUAUUGUGGCUUUGGCUUUGGAUAUAAAGG
This 7852-nucleotide long non-coding RNA is filed under the name Brassica napus (rape). RNAcentral describes it as "long non-coding RNA (BNAP_LNC004151)". Lineage: Eukaryota; Viridiplantae; Streptophyta; Magnoliopsida; Brassicales; Brassicaceae. The record is from RNAcentral.